This 497-nucleotide ribosomal RNA is filed under the name uncultured bacterium. RNAcentral describes it as "partial 16S ribosomal RNA". It matches the Rfam family "Bacterial small subunit ribosomal RNA", at positions 28 to 507 of the family's 1533-position model. The record is from RNAcentral.
GAUGAACGCUGGCGGCGUGCCUAAUACAUGCAAGUCGAGCGAACAGACGAGAAGCUUGCUUUUCUGAUGUUAGCGGCGGACGGGUGAGUAACACGUGGAUAACCUACCUAUAAGACUGGGAUAACUUCGGGAAACCGGAGCUAAUACCGGAUAAUAUUUUGAACCGCAUGGUUCAUAAGUGAAAGACGGUCUUGCUGUCACUUAUAGAUGGAUCCGCGCUGCAUUAGCUAGUUGGUAAGGUAACGGCUUACCAAGGCAACGAUGCAUAGCCGACCUGAGAGGGUGAUCGGCCACACUGGAACUGAGACACGGUCCAGACUCCUACGGGAGGCAGCAGUAGGGAAUCUUCCGCAAUGGGCGAAAGCCUGACGGAGCAACGCCGCGUGAGUGAUGAAGGUCUUCGGAUCGUAAAACUCUGUUAUUAGGGAAGAACAUAUGUGUAAGUAACUGUGCACAUCUUGACGGUACCUAAUCAGAAAGCCACGGCUAACUACGUG